GUUCCGGAACGCCGCGGCCCAGGGCUGCCACCUCCGCGGGGAACACCCUUGCUCUGCCCAGCUGGCGGGAGCAUCAUCUGCCCCCCCGCCACCCAGCCGGGAGCCCGAUCCGACUCAGGAUUACACUGACAUCACUGCGAGAGAUGCUGGGAUCAUUCCCCGGGGGAGGGAAGGAAAGACGCGUGUCAGCCUCGCAGUCGCGGCGCUUUCUGCAGGCCCUGGCAAGCUUUUUUGCACUAGUUUGGGGGGAGCGGGAGAGUGUGGAUGAGGAUGCAGCAUAGCUGGGCAUCUUCUUUGAAAAUCUACCCGUUGGAAGGUCCGGGUAUUUAAUUAGGACCUCUUCAUCCCAAGCAGCAGGGCGAGAAUGUCCCAAAAUAACUAACCCAGAGAGUACACUCCAGCCUUCCUAGCCAAGUGUCCUGAGGCUACGUUAACAGGCAGAACUAAAUCUAGUAAAGUGCAGGGAUUAAUGAACAAACAGUUAAAGCAACAAGAUCCCUCACCUACACCCCCAUUUCUGAGGCGGACGCCCCUUUCCCUGGAGAAAAAAUUUGUCCUCCUAAAGAGGGGAUGUCCUGAAGAGAAGACGGCAAAUCAUUCCUUCUGAAGGACUCUGAUGUCUCAGCUUGCUGGGCUUUUGCUUUUUUUUUUUUUUUUUUUUUUUUUUAACCUGUUUUGGUUUACCCCUACUGUAACUCCUGAAAUGUGAAACCUAGAUAAAAGUUACUGCUGGGUUUUCUUGUUCAAAGAAGAGAAGAGAUUCUGUUCAUCUGUAGACAGUUAAUGCAUCCUCUUGACUUCUCAGGGUGUCUUUUCUCAAGGCUUGCUGUUACUCAUUUCAACACCCGAUUUUAUUUUAACGGUAAAGAGCUCAACAGUUAUCUUAGUUGAAAUUUUGUUUUGUUUUUGACAAAUGAAAACAAAUGAAUUGCUUUGUUUUUUCACAAAUGAAUUAUCACAUCAAAUGCAAUGAAGAUCCCAAGCUCUGGCAUCAGACUUGAUUCAAAUCCUGGUUCUAGGGCCUGGGUCAAGUAACUAGACUUUUCUGUUCCUUCAAUUCCUCAUCUAUGAAAUGAAGAUAAUCAAGACCUACCUCUUAAUAUAGCGGUGGAUCGAAUGUGCUAUGAUGAUGGAGGAUUUCUCACUGUGAGAGAAGUGAGCCACCAGAUAGAGAGGACACUCAAACAGCCCCAUGCAGAGGCCAAUAUAGAAAGGAUAAAAUAGCCAGCAUCAACUUACCGGCUUUGUAAGAGAGCCUUUAUAACUGAAUCCACUGCCCCGGUCAAGCCUUCAGAUGACUGCAGCUCUAGCCUACAUCUGGCUGCAAUCUCAGGUGUUCAGAUCAAGGGAAACUACUCUAAGAGGCUACACUUGAGGAACAACAACCAAGGAGCUUCAACUGCAUCUGGAUUUCAGGAGUCUGGAAAACUUUUCUUUUGAGCUAUUGACAGCCUUUAACAACUGAGUAAAGUGUACUCCUGUGAACAAAAUUCAGAGCCUGUUUGUUUCUCUCUACCUGAUUUCUCCAGAAUUUGGAAACUAUUUGUGAGUAUUCUUAACUUAUGGAAACAUAGUUAUUUGCAUAAGUGCAAUAAGAAUCUGUUUUCAUUUGUAACAGGACACAAUUGGAAAAACUGGUUAUUUUACCAAGGCUUUUACUGGAAUGGUGUGCUUUCUUUUAAGGAAUCAAACUUGACUUAUAGAGCCAAUAAAAGCCCCUUGGAAACACUGGCCUUAUACAUUGUCUACACAGUCUCUGUGUAGGGUUCCUAACCUGUGAGUAAAGAAUGUCACUUUUUAACAGUCCCAGGAGCCCCCAAGUUAUCUUGGGACCUGAAUAGGAAAGGAAUUUACCCAAUAAUAGAUAUUUGAGUGUACAAACCCAUGGCUGGGCUCAGCUUCAGAAAAAAGUCUUAUCUGAGAUUCCUUAUAGAACAGAGUUCCAUCAAAGCCAAUUUAAAAAGCCUAUGUGAAAAAUAAUUAUUCUUGCUGCACUUUGUAUGAAUAAUCAGGCCAAGUAUAAUAAAGUAAAUCAGUCUUACAGUGAUUUGUCUUUAGUAAAAAUGGGAAACUGGAGAGAGAAAAAAAUUGUUUCAAGAACUAUGGUACAACUGUUACUAGAUUCUAGUCUCAUUCACUGUUUUUGAAUUUUUUUCUGCAAUUUAGACUGACUCUUCUUAUUUCUGUUAACCAACCAGUGAUCUCUGGCUGCUGCUCAGAAGAACUAAGAAGGAUGGGUAAUAUAAAAUCCAGAUCAAUAUUCUUAUUCUGGGCACAUAUUGGAAUCAGCUAACAACCCCAUAUCAGUUUGGUUCCAACAAUUGCCCAGUUCAUGGAAAGCCUCUAAUUUUGUUUAUUUGGGAUGAUUUUGCUUAUUUUGCUUUACUAUUGUGGAAUAUAUUGCUGUUGUACUCUUUGUGUAGGAAUGCAGGAUAUGCUUGCUGAAUGUUUUCUUAAAUUGAACCCUUAUUCCUCUUCCAGGUACCAUCUUUUGUUGGAACUCAGUUACAAAUAACCCUCACCAUACCAGCACUUUCUGAAUGAGCUCCUCUCUACCCUGAAGGCAAAAGACCCAAUAGUUAGGCUGGAAUAUUAUCACCCCUAUUCAGCCUGAAGAAGUUACAGAAAAUGGAUCUUCAUCUGUCUACAACCCUUAGGAUUAAGUGUUCUCUUAUAAUAGGGAGGGGGGAAUUGUCAGAGGCAUUUGAAUCAAAGCAACUCCAUUUCACACAGGGGCUAAGUGAAAUAAGGCUAAGACCUACUAGGCUGCAUUCCCAGGAGGUUAAGACAUUCUAAGUCACAGGAUGAGACAGGAGAGCGGCAUAAGAUGCAGGUCAGAAAGAUCUUGUGGAUAAAACAGGUUGCAGUAAAGAAGCCAGCCAAAACAUCAAAACCAAGAUGGCGACAAAAGUGACUUCUGGUCGUCUGCACUGCUACAUUCCCGCCAGCACCACGGCAGUUUACAAAUGCCAUGGCAAUGUCAGGAGGUUGCCCUACAUGUUCUAAAAUGGGGAGGAACCCUCAGUUCCAGGAAUUGCCCACCCCUUUCCUGGAAAACUCAUGAAUAAUCCACCCUUUGUUUAGCAUAUAAACAAGAAAUAACCAUAAAAAUGGGCAACUAGGUGUGCACCACUGCUCUUCUUAUGGAGUAGCCAUUCUUUCAUUCCUUUACUUUCAUAAUAAACUUGCUUUCACUUAAAAAAAAACUUGACCCUUACCUUAUGCCAUGUAUAAAAAUUAACUCACAAUGAAUCAGGAGGUAUUCCUUUUUCCUGACUGCCUUUGAACUGGGACAUCAUUUUUUUCCCUGUCUUCAGACUUGAACUGAAACAUCAGCUUUUCUUGAGUCUCAACCUGCUGUUCUUUGGACUAGAACUGCACCAUUGGCUCUCUUGGGUUUCCAGCUUAACAACUGUAGAUCUUGGAACUUGGCAGCUUUCAUAAAUACAUGAGUUAAUUUCUUAAAAUAAAUAUAUUCAUAUGUAUGUAUAUAAAAUACAUAUCUAUCUAUCUAUCUAUCUAUCUAUCUAUCUAUCUAUCUAUCUAUCUUCUAUUGAUUUUUUUUUCUCUGGAGAACCCUGACUAGUACAGCUACAUAUAGUGUGGUAUUGGUGUUAAAGAUCAAUAAAGCAGCAUGCAGAAUUCAAAACAAAACAUAUAUAGAAUUAACUGCCAACAAACAUGACAAAGUAGUCUACAUAGAAAAGGGUAGUUUUUUCCCCCAAAUGUUGCUGAUAACAAUUGUAUUUUCACAUAAAAAUUGACAGUUGACACAACUCGUGCUGUACGAAAAAAAGUUAACUUGUAAACAAAAAAUUAACUUGUAGUGGAUUAUAGACCUAAAUAUAAAAGCUAAAACCAUAAAACUUCUAGAAGAUAAUAUUGGAUAAAAUAUUCACAAACUUGGAGUGGGCAAAGAUUUCUUAAAACACAAAAAUCACUAACCAUUAAAAAAUCCCAAACCUCAGCAUCACACCAUAUACCCAAGUAAAAAAGCUGCACAUGUACCCACUUAAUCUAAAAUAAAAGUUGAAAAAAAUAAUAAUUUAAAAAAUUUGAAAAAUAAAAGUAAAAUAAAAUAGACAUUUGAGUCUUGAAGGACGGCAUUAAGAAACUGUAAAGGCAAACUAUAUUAAUAAAGAAAGUAUUAAUAAUGCAUAUGGAACAGGAGAGUUUCCUGACCUCUUCUUGGGACUUGUGACAAGAGUGUGGCUUGCUUGCUCUGCCACCACACAUUCAAACACCUUACAGGAAGGGGAGCAUACAGAUGGGCAGGUGCAGGAGCUGGGGUGAGCGCUUUUGGGCUCCUGCCCCAUGGUAGCAUCUAGGAGUAUGUUAUGAUUAAUGCUCUUUUAGCAGUUACCAUCUGUGUAUGGCUAAAUGUUAAACCAGCUCAGUGGAGUGUCAGG
RNAcentral lists this long non-coding RNA (4409 nucleotides) under Homo sapiens (human). RNAcentral's name for it is "non-protein coding lnc-RTKN2-2:3". Lineage: Eukaryota; Metazoa; Chordata; Mammalia; Primates; Hominidae. The record is from RNAcentral.